GUCAUUAUGGAUGACCAAGAUUCCGAAUUAAUAAUUAGUAUUUGAAAUUGAUCUAUACUAUGAAAAAUAUUUAGAAAUUGAAUUUUAUAAUUUUUAAAAAUUAUGAUCAAAUCCAUCGAAGAAUCGAAAAAUGAACCGUAAAAAACGAAUAAUGAAAAUAGAUGUUAGAGUUUUUCAAUUCAUGAUUGAAAUUAUCAAACACUAUCUAAAUAACAUAAAAAUUUUCUAUCAAAAAUUUAAGCGGUUGGAUUACUCGACACGGGUAAACAAGCACACGACUCAUAUAGGCAAUAAAAAAACUAUCAAUUUUGUGAUUCUUUAAUCACUACGUAAAUAAUUUUUAAAAAUUAUAAAAUUUAGUUUCUAGACAUUUCAAAUACUUUAGAUCAACUUUAACAAUUGUGAUAAUCGAUGCGGAAUAUCUAUUAUAAAAAAUGACUUGAUAGGAUAAAGGCCUCCGUCUUUUUAA
RNAcentral lists this long non-coding RNA (469 nucleotides) under Ananas comosus (pineapple). RNAcentral's name for it is "long non-coding RNA (ACOM_LNC037689)". Lineage: Eukaryota; Viridiplantae; Streptophyta; Magnoliopsida; Poales; Bromeliaceae. The record is from RNAcentral.